AGAGUUUGAUCAUGGCUCAGAUUGAACGCUGGCGGCAGGCCUAACACAUGCAAGUCGAACGGUAACAGAAAGCAGCUUGCUGCUUUGCUGACGAGUGGCGGACGGGUGAGUAAUGUCUGGGAAACUGCCCGAUGGAGGGGGAUAACUACUGGAAACGGUAGCUAAUACCGCAUAACGUCGCAAGACCAAAGAGGGGGACCUUAGGGCCUCUUGCCAUCGGAUGUGCCCAGAUGGGAUUAGCUAGUAGGUGGGGUAACGGCUCACCUAGGCGACGAUCCCUAGCUGGUCUGAGAGGAUGACCAGCCACACUGGAACUGAGACACGGUCCAGACUCCUACGGGAGGCAGCAGUGGGGAAUAUUGCACAAUGGGCGCAAGCCUGAUGCAGCCAUGCCGCGUGUAUGAAGAAGGCCUUCGGGUUGUAAAGUACUUUCAGCGGGGAGGAAGGGAGUAAAGUUAAUACCUUUGCUCAUUGACGUUACCCGCAGAAGAAGCACCGGCUAACUCCGUGCCAGCAGCCGCGGUAAUACGGAGGGUGCAAGCGUUAAUCGGAAUUACUGGGCGUAAAGCGCACGCAGGCGGUUUGUUAAGUCAGAUGUGAAAUCCCCGGGCUCAACCUGGGAACUGCAUCUGAUACUGGCAAGUCUUGAGUCUCGUAGAGGGGGUAGAAUUCCAGGUGUAGCGGUGAAAUGCGUAGAGAUCUGGAGGAAUACCGGUGGCGAAGGCGGCCCCCUGGACGAAGACUGACGCUCAGGUGCGAAAGCGUGGGGAGCAAACAGGAUUAGAUACCCUGGUAGUCCACGCCGUAAACGAUGUCGACUUGGAGGUUGUGCCCUUGAGGCGUGGCUUCCGGAGCUAACGCGUUAAGUCGACCGCCUGGGGAGUACGGCCGCAAGGUUAAAACUCAAAUGAAUUGACGGGGGCCCGCACAAGCGGUGGAGCAUGUGGUUUAAUUCGAUGCAACGCGAAGAACCUUACCUGGUCUUGACAUCCACGGAAGUUUUCAGAGAUGAGAAUGUGCCUUCGGGAACCGUGAGACAGGUGCUGCAUGGCUGUCGUCAGCUCGUGUUGUGAAAUGUUGGGUUAAGUCCCGCAACGAGCGCAACCCUUAUCCUUUGUUGCCAGCGGUCCGGCCGGGAACUCAAAGGAGACUGCCAGUGAUAAACUGGAGGAAGGUGGGGAUGACGUCAAGUCAUCAUGGCCCUUACGACCAGGGCUACACACGUGCUACAAUGGCGCAUACAAAGAGAAGCGACCUCGCGAGAGCAAGCGGACCUCAUAAAGUGCGUCGUAGUCCGGAUUGGAGUCUGCAACUCGACUCCAUGAAGUCGGAAUCGCUAGUAAUCGUGGAUCAGAAUGCCACGGUGAAUACGUUCCCGGGCCUUGUACACACCGCCCGUCACACCAUGGGAGUGGGUUGCAAAAGAAGUAGGUAGCUUAACCAUCGGGAGGGCGCUUACCACUUUGUGAUUCAUGACUGGGGUGAAGUCGUAACAAGGUAACCGUAGGGGAACCUGCGGUUGGAUCACCU
This 1530-nucleotide ribosomal RNA is filed under the name Escherichia coli DEC2C. RNAcentral's name for it is "bacterial SSU rRNA". It matches the Rfam family "Bacterial small subunit ribosomal RNA". Lineage: Bacteria; Pseudomonadati; Pseudomonadota; Gammaproteobacteria; Enterobacterales; Enterobacteriaceae. The record is from RNAcentral.